Molecule: ribosomal RNA, 462 nt
Filed under: uncultured Methanomicrobiales archaeon
Lineage: Archaea; Methanobacteriati; Methanobacteriota; Methanomicrobia; Methanomicrobiales
Description: bacterial SSU rRNA
Rfam family: Archaeal small subunit ribosomal RNA
Source: RNAcentral
CACCACAACAGGUGGAGCCUGCGGUUUAAUCGGACUCAACGCCGGGAAACUCACCAGAUAAGACAGCUGAAUGAUAGUCGGGCUGAAGACUCUACUUGACUAGCUGAGAGGAGGUGCAUGGCCGUCGUCAGUUCGUACUGUGAAGCAUCCUGUUAAGUCAGGCAACGAGCGAGACCCACGCCAACAGUUGCCAGCUCGUCCUCCGGGAUGGUGGGGACACUGUUGGGACCGCCUCUGCUAAAGAGGAGGAAGGAAUGGGCAACGGUAGGUCAGCAUGCCCCGAAUUAUCUGGGCUACACGCGGGCUACAAUGGGUGGGACAAUGGGUAUCGACACCGAAAGGUGAAGGCAAUCUCCUAAACCCAUCCGUAGUUCGGAUUGUGGGCUGCAACUCGCCCACAUGAAGCUGGAAUCUGUAGUAAUCGCGUUUCAAAAUAGCGCGGUGAAUAUGUCCCUGCUCCUU